UAGAAAUGAAAUAUACCCCUAAGAUAUAAUUUUUGGGCUUAUAAAAAGGGUCACGUACGCCAUAUUGAGAAAAAAAGGCCACACACAUUGAAUACACGGCCAUUGAGAGAAAAACGAAGAUAGGGAGGGAAACACGUGAGAGAAAAGAAGGGCAAUAGAGAGGUCUUCGUGUAAGAAGGAGCCGGAUCCUUCAACUCUGAAAAUUGUCCACGACCGUCAGAAAAGACGAACGGAGAAUCCCUCUUCUGCAAGUUGGACAUCUAAGCAUUGAAAAAGCAUUGAAGGAGAAACUGCGAGAAGAUAGACACGCACAAGAGAGAGAACGAAAUAUUCUCUCUCCACGACGCUGCCCGCAAGACCUUGACUCCAUCUUCGUUGUAGCGUCUUCGCGUGACCACCUCAGCAGUGCGACCAAGACCCCCACGAGUCCCGCAAAUCGGAUGCCACCCUUGCCGACAUAGUUCCAUUGCCUCGUGACGCUGCUGCUGCCCGAGGCGUGCCACCUCGACGUUGAGCCGCCCCUUGGUUUGUGGUGACAUUGCCUACCGCUGCUUUGCUGAUUUGUUCGUUGGUUGCUACCCACGGGCACUUUGUUGAACCACCGUCAAAUUUAUCAACCGUGAAUCAUCCACCACGGAGCCAACAGUGAAGGACAAGUUCUGCACAUUAACGAAAAGACGUGAAGGAGGGCACGCUUACUUGGAAGACUUCAUCACCACACCAUCAUACAGGGAAGAGAGGUCGUGGGAGGUGUGGAGCCUAAUAGAGAGGGAGGCAAUUUCUCUGGAGGUCAACGAAGGACAAUCACGAAGACUCUCUCUCGGAUUCUACUCCUUCACUGAGAAAACUUACAGACUUCAAUGGCCAAUGUAGAGCCUUGCACCACCGUGAACCCAUGCUUUAUUGAGAAAGCUUGCCGUGGAGCCCGUGAUUGAGCAGUUGCCACACCUUACCUCUCACCAUCGGCAACAAGCCCCGUUGAGCACUUGCUGAUUCCUGCACCACUAUUGAGCUCGUCCCCAGAUCGAGCUGGCCGAAUGAGUUUUUUUGUUUUGUUUUGUAGGUCAUUGGUUAGCCCCUUUGCUGUGCCGAAUUCUCUGACCCAUUGGCCAUGAACCGCCCAUCCAUCACUCACCAAUCGCAAGUCGUAAAUUCGGAAACCGAUAUUCGGAAUAGGUAAAAAUUUUGUCUAUUUUGAUUUUCAAAAAUUCUGUUUCCUUAUUGAUAUGUUUGUUGAUGAUAUGCUAAGGUAUCCGUAGUCUCGAGUAGCCUUAUAAGCUGGGAAAUUUUCCCAAUUUCAUAACGUGCAUAUGAUUGACAGUUCGAUUUUCGCGCCCGAAAUCUGACUCGCAAUUGCAUGGAAAAAUCGCCAAUCUGAUCUCACGCUCGAGAUUCGAUUCGCGAUUUUUUUUAAAUUUGGCCAACCCAAUCUCAUGCGCAAGAUAUGGUUCGCCAAUUUUUGGAUAUCAAUCUUAUCUUGAUUGAUUUGCCAUCGUGUGGUUUGAGUCGAUCUUGUUUUCGUAGAAAGGAAAAAAUCAAAAAAAAAAAUUGAAUUAGGAUUAGGUUCCUUUUAGAAUAUUCCUAGUCUUAGGGUUAUCUUGCAUGUUUAGAAUUGCGAUCUUAUUUCGAAUUUUAAAAAAUCCAAAAAAUGCGUUCAUUUAGGAUGUUAGUUUUCUUUAAUUUAAAUGGGACGUUUAAUUAUUUGGCAAUUUUAAAUUUCAAAUUUUACAAAGAGAAAUACAAAAAAAAUCAUCAUGCAUGUAUCAUGUAGAAUUAUGGCAUCCUUGGCACGUCAUUGCAUAUUAGGUUGAUUGCAUGUUUAAAUUUUAUUUGGAUAGAUCCUUUUAGAUAGAUUGCAUUUUAGGUUAGAGAUUACUUGGUCAAGAUAAGAUUCUAGUUUAAAUUAGGAUUUGGCUUAACCUAAUUCCUAAUACAAAUUGAAUAGAAUCUUAAUCUAGCUGGAUAAUGUUUGCAUUUUUCUAAUUUCGAAUUUCAUGGAAAAUAGAAAAACAUUGCCUUAGAAUUAAUAAAAUUUCAUUCUUUAGGAUAGACUGCAUCUUAUUUAUGUCAUAUAGUUUAAGUCAUAUUGCCAUGCUAUAUCAUUACAUGUUAGAUUAGUAACAUUGCAUUGCAUGUAAAUUAGGUUCUCAUUAAGAAAAGUGAAAACGAAAAUUGGGUAAUUGCGUGUUAAUCAUAUUUGGGAUUGUCGAUGUGAAUUUUAAUUUAAUAUUGCAGAUGCUUUCGAUGCUUUAAGGUAAGUUUUUGCAAUUUAUUUAUUAUUUAUUUGGAUGUUAAAUUGGUGGUUUACGUACCCGCAUGAUCAUCUCACACGUUAGGGAAAUUGAUUUAAAAUCAAUUCAAGCUGCUUGCCAAACAUUUUUGAAAAUAAAAGAAUGGUACCGAAAGGGUAUUAGAGGAAUCUAGUAUAACCAAGUCCCCGUACCCAUAGUAUCUGGUUCGCAGGAGUAAAAUAAUUAUCCCGUUAUUUUACUUGGGUUUCUAAUCGACCCACCAAAAACAUAUUAGUGGCGACUCCUAAUUGAAAAUCAAUUGCAUGUUAAGAACUUGAACCGAAAGUCGCGAAUUGGUAUGGGCUUGGAAGAGCCCGAGUUAAGUCUAGGCUUAACAAUCCAUUAGCCAAAUCUUAGGUGGUUCACACCCGAAAAAAAUUGAUCAUGACAGUAUUGUUAUGUCUCAGGACAAGCUGUAAACCUAAACAAGUCUAGCAUCUAUUUUAAUAAAGAUUGUCCUCAUCUAUUAAGGGAUAAUAUGAAAAGAGAAUUGUGGGUUUCAGAGCUAAAGCGGUCAGGUAAGUACUUGGGAAUCCCCUCUAACUGGGGAACAUCGAAAAGACAAAUGUUUGCAUGGAUUUUAAAUAGGGUAAACAUGAAAUUAGAGGGCUGGAAGGAAAAAAUUAUAUCUAAAGUAGGCAAGGAAAUACUCUUGAAAUCAGUGGUACAGGCAUUACCUCAAUAUGCCAUGUCAGUUUUCAAAAUUCCAGUUUCAAUUGGCAAGGCUAUAGAGAAGAAAAUAGCAAAUUUCUAGUGGAAAAAUAGUGAAUCAAAAAAGCUGGUUUGCAUUGGAAUCGAUGGAAAAUUAUGAAAAUGAGGAAAGACAAGGAAGUAAUGGGUUUUAGAGACCUACUUACUGUUAAUAAUGCCCUUUUGGGUAAAUAAGCUUGGAGGAUGGUAAAGAAUUCAGAUGCACUAUGGAGUAAACUAUUAAAAGGGCUCUACUUCUGUUGCAAAGACUUCCGGUAUGCUAAUAAAGGACCUAAACCUUCAUGGGGUUGGAAAAGUUUACUUUUAGAAAGGGAGGCUAUAGCGGAUUCAGUGAGAUGGUCAAUCGGAAACGGUCUAAAUGUCAAUAUCAGAACAGAUAAAUGGCUGAAGCAAGGAUUAAUUGGAGGGCCAGCAAACAAAAGUGACCCACAAAAAGUUUCUAAGUUGAUGAACUUUGAAGCAGAGCAAUGGAAUGAACCGUUGUUAAAUAACCUAUUUGAUGAGCAGACUACUCAGGAGAUUCUUGCAAUCCCAAUUAAUCGUCACAUUACAAGUGAUGAACUGAUAUGGACAGGCACAGAGAAUGAGUCUUUUACAAUAAAAAAUGGCUAUAACAUCUUAAGAGAUAGAAUGACAGCAAACAAAGCAAUGGAACAUCCCUCUUCCUCAUAUCAAACAUCGUCAGAACUAUGGAAUGCAAUAUGGAAAAUGUGGACUAGCCCCAAAGUGAAGAUUUUCGUUUGGAAUGUUUGUCAAAAUACCAUCCCAUCCAAGGAGAACCUAUGGAAAAGAAAGAUCUUACCCGAUUUGGUUUGUGAUCUUUGCCGAGAUAAGGUGGAAACGGUCGAACACAUUCAUCUCCUCUACCCUUGGACCACAAGGGUUUGGAGCCACCCGGAAAUCAACCUACAAGUAGACGCACAAGAGGUUACACAAAUGGAUGAGUGGCUAGUGUGAUUUAUCAGAAAAAACACGAACUUACCACACCCCUGGAAACGAUCAGAAACCUCCUUUGGCAAGUAUGGAAGGAGCGCAACAACUUUAUUUUUCAAGGUACUAAACCGGAUGCCUACAAAGUGGUAGAUCUAGCCCGAUUUCAGCAAGAAAGCUACCAUAAAUGGGGCUUUAUACAUCUACAAGCAGAAAAGGAAGAAGAUAUAGAGAUUUCUCAUACUUGGCAAGCCCCAGCAGCCAUUUUCUUCAAGCUUAAUGUUGAUGGGUCGCUUUGCAAGGGAUUGACGAAAGGAGCAGUGGUUCGUGUUGUUCGGGACUCUUCCGGUAGCCUUGUUGAUGGAUUCACAAAGCUUGUUUGGGCGGGAUCGAUCCUUCAGCUAGAAACCCUAGGAGUGCUCGAAGCUUUGAAGUACUAAAAACAAAAGCAACUGGGGAAGGCUUUGGUGGAGUCUGACAACUGAACACUCGUGAACUCCCUAAAGAACUCGAACGAAGUGAAC
Molecule: long non-coding RNA, 4456 nt
Filed under: Eucalyptus grandis
Lineage: Eukaryota; Viridiplantae; Streptophyta; Magnoliopsida; Myrtales; Myrtaceae
Description: long non-coding RNA (EGRA_LNC004833)
Source: RNAcentral